This 498-nucleotide ribosomal RNA is filed under the name uncultured bacterium. RNAcentral describes it as "partial 16S ribosomal RNA". It matches the Rfam family "Bacterial small subunit ribosomal RNA", at positions 30 to 523 of the family's 1533-position model. The record is from RNAcentral.
AUUGAACGCUGGCGGCAUGCCUUACACAUGCAAGUCGAACGGUAACAGGUCUUCGGAUGCUGACGAGUGGCGAACGGGUGAGUAAUACAUCGGAACGUGCCUAGUAGUGGGGGAUAACUACUCGAAAGAGUGGCUAAUACCGCAUGAGAUCUACGGAUGAAAGCAGGGGAUCGCAAGCCCUUGUGCUACUAGAGCGGCAGAUGGCAGAUUAGGUAGUUGGUGGGAUAAAAGCUUACCAAGCUGACGAUCUGUAGCUGGUCUGAGAGGACGAUCAGCCACACUGGGACUGAGACACGGCCCAGACUCCUACGGGAGGCAGCAGUGGGGAAUUUUGGACAAUGGGCGCAAGCCUGAUCCAGCAAUGCCGCGUGCAGGAUGAAGGCCUUCGGGUUGUAAACUGCUUUUGUACGGAACGAAAAGCCCCGGGUUAAUACCCUGGGGUCAUGACAGUACCGUAAGAAUAAGCACCGGCUAACUACGUGCCAGCCGCCGCAGUAA